Molecule: non-coding RNA, 369 nt
Filed under: Loxodonta africana (African savanna elephant)
Lineage: Eukaryota; Metazoa; Chordata; Mammalia; Proboscidea; Elephantidae
Description: Bag-1 internal ribosome entry site (IRES)
Rfam family: Bag-1 internal ribosome entry site (IRES)
About the family: This family represents the bag-1 internal ribosome entry site (IRES). When expressed the BAG-1 protein is known to enhance the anti-apoptotic properties of Bcl-2. Although bag-1 translation usually occurs via a cap-dependent mechanism it has been found to contain a IRES in its 5' UTR.
Source: Rfam by way of RNAcentral
GGGGAGAUCAGCAAGCGCGGGCCUGGAGGAACGCGGCGGCGCGCGGACACCGCGAGGCCACGGGGAGCGGCCGGGUCCCCGGAGGCGCGUUCUUCGGCCGGGCCGGGAGCCGCACCAGGCCGAAAGCCCGGCCCAGCGCAAGCCGCCCCGGUCUCAGCGUCCGUCCGCCCCGAGCAAGGCCAGCGGACAUGACCGACCCACCAGGGGCCCCGCCCCGGCGCUCGCAGGCCGCGGGUGAAGAAGAAAACACCACCCCACACAGCCCGGAGCGAGGACAUGGCCCAGAGGGAGGAAGUGGUCCCGAGCAAGGAGAUGGCCCGGAGCGAGGAGAUGACCCGGAGUGAGGCGGUAGCCCAGAGCGAGGAAAUG